AUUGAACGCCGGCGGCAGGCCUAACACAUGCAAGUCGAACGGUAACAGGAAGCAGCUUGCUGCUUUGCUGACGAGUGGCGGACGGGUGAGUAAUGUCUGGGAAACUGCCUGAUGGAGGGGGAUAACUACUGGAAACGGUAGCUAAUACCGCAUAACGUCGCAAGACCAAAGAGGGGGACCUUCGGGCCUCUUGCCAUCGGAUGUGCCCAGAUGGGAUUAGCUAGUAGGUGGGGUAACGGCUCACCUAGGCGACGAUCCCUAGCUGGUCUGAGAGGAUGACCAGCCACACUGGAACUGAGACACGGUCCAGACUCCUACGGGAGGCAGCAGUGGGGAAUAUUGCACAAUGGGCGCAAGCCUGAUGCAGCCAUGCCGCGUGUAUGAAGAAGGCCUUCGGGUUGUAAAGUACUUUCAGCGGGGAGGAAGGGAGUAAAGUUAAUACCUUUGCUCAUUGACGUUACCCGCAGAAGAAGCACCGGCUAACUCCGUG
Molecule: ribosomal RNA, 490 nt
Filed under: uncultured bacterium
Lineage: Bacteria
Description: partial 16S ribosomal RNA
Rfam family: Bacterial small subunit ribosomal RNA
Source: RNAcentral